AAUAGAUACCCUGGUAGUCCACGCCGUAAACGAUGAGUGCUAAGUGUUAGAGGGUUUCCGCCCUUUAGUGCUGCAGCUAACGCAUUAAGCACUCCGCCUGGGGAGUACGGCCGCAAGGCUGAAACUCAAAGGAAUUGACGGGGGCCCGCACAAGCGGUGGAGCAUGUGGUUUAAUUCGAAGCAACGCGAAGAACCUUACCAGGUCUUGACAUCCUCUGCCAACCCUAGAGAUAGGGCGUUCCCCUUCGGGGGACAGAGUGACAGGUGGUGCAUGGUUGUCGUCAGCUCGUGUCGUGAGAUGUUGGGUUAAGUCCCGCAACGAGCGCAACCCUUGAUCUUAGUUGCCAGCAUUCAGUUGGGCACUCUAAGGUGACUGCCGGUGACAAACCGGAGGAAGGUGGGGAUGACGUCAAAUCAUCAUGCCCCUUAUGACCUGGGCUACACACGUGCUACAAUGGAUGGUACAAAGAGUUGCGAACCCGCGAGGGUAAGCCAAUCUCAUAAAGCCAUUCUCAGUUCGGAUUGUAGG
RNAcentral lists this ribosomal RNA (529 nucleotides) under uncultured bacterium. Its description in RNAcentral is "bacterial SSU rRNA". It matches the Rfam family "Bacterial small subunit ribosomal RNA", at positions 777 to 1304 of the family's 1533-position model. The record is from RNAcentral.